RNAcentral lists this ribosomal RNA (301 nucleotides) under uncultured bacterium. RNAcentral describes it as "partial 16S ribosomal RNA". It matches the Rfam family "Bacterial small subunit ribosomal RNA", at positions 509 to 807 of the family's 1533-position model. The record is from RNAcentral.
CAGCAGCCACGGGAAUACGUAGGGUGCGAGCGUUAAUCGGAAUUACUGGGCGUAAAGCGUGCGCAGGCGGUUAUAUAAGACAGAUGUGAAAUCCCCGGGCUCAACCUGGGACCUGCAUUCGUGGCUGUAUAGCUAGAGUACGGUAGAGGGGGAUGGAAUUCCGCGUGUAGCAGUGAAAUGCGUAGAUAUGCGGAGGAACACCGAUGGCGAAGGCAAUCCCCUGGACCUGUACUGACGCUCAUGCACGAAAGCGUGGAGAGCAAACAGGAUUAGAGACCCCAGUAGUCCCUGUCUCUUAUAC